ACAGUGUUUCCUGUGUACUCCUGUGUUCUAGGCCCUGCACUGUGUGCUGCUGGAGAGGUGCCCAACUGAAUUCAAGUCAGGCCUCAUCCUCAAGUGACUUCCAUUCUUGAGAGAGUUUCCAUUUUAUGUUGCAGAGUGACCCCCAUUUCUUUACUCCUGGAAGACAAGCCAUUGUUUUGGAAGGAAGGCUCCAGAAUGUCCAUGAGUGGCUUUGGCUUCUGUAUCAAGGCGCAGUGGCUCAUGUCUGAAAUCCCAGCACUUUGGGAGGCUAAGGCAGGAGGAUUAUUUGAGCCUAGGAGUUUAAGAGCAGCCUGGGCAAAACAGCGAGACCCCAUCUCUACACCAAUUUGUUUUAAAAAACUAGCUGGGCAUGGUGAUGCACGCCUGUAGUCCUAGUUACUUGGGAGGCUGAGGCAGGAGGAUCACUUGAGCCCUGGAGGUCGAGGCUGCAGUGAGCCACAAUCGCGGCACAGCAUUCUAGCCUGGGAAACAGAGUGAGACCAUGUCUCAAAGCAAGCAAGCAAACAAACAAACAAAACAAAAAAGUUUGAAGGUCAUAGAAAAGCAAAGAAAGACCAAGAAAUGGUCACAGGUUGAGGAACAAGGAGACAUGACAACGAAAUGCUAUGUGAGAGCCUAGAAGAAAAAAGAAGACCUCUGUGGAAAACCUGGAGAAAUCUGGAAAAAAAAAAAAGUCUGGCAUUUAAUCAAUAAUAAUGCACUGAAGUGAAUUCUUAAUUUUAAUAAAUAUACCAUGGCUAUGCAAGAUGUUAACAUUAGGGAAAGUUGUAUGAGGGGUAUAAAACUCUCUCUUUUUUUUUUUUUACAGUUUCUCUGUAAACUUAUUUCAAAAUCAAUUGUUUAAAAGACAACAAAUGGCAUGCUGAGAUUUGGCUGCUGUGAGCAUCUUUGUGGCUGCAGAACAGAACCUAAACAGAUAUCCAUUGAGCUCUUGACUAGGUGCUUGGCCAUGUACUAAGCUCUAGAGAAUCCUCAGGAACCUACAAUUUGGUGAGGGAGAUAGGUAUGGCCCACAGGAAUAAGCGGGCAAGGCACAUUAAGAGCUCUGUUCUGAAGGAAGGGAAGAUGGCUCUUAUGAGCAUGUAACAGAGAAAACAGAUUGAGUCUCUGGGGCCAGAUGCCUUCCUCAUAGAGUGUGAAGCUGUUAACCAGAUGAGGAGCAUGGGAGAAGGGUGGGAGGCAUGACAGGAGAUGGUGGAGAAUGAAAGAAGAAAAGGCUCUUGGGCAGGACAACUGCUUGCCUAAGGGAUGCUUUUGUGCAAAGUAGAAAAGGUGCCUGUCUCAACUCAGUCUCAGCCCCCUGUACUUCAGUGAGCUGAUGCUGCCUUUGUGAGAAGAAGAAGAUACGCUUUUCUUGGUGCCCAGUCAUAUUCUUCCUGGCAGACACAGCACAGAGUUUAAUGGAUUUCAUUUCCUUGGUAGUGUGUCUUUGUGCAGUGCACAAACUAAGCAACAGUAGGUGGCAUUUCUGCUGAGCUCAGAUUAUGGAAGCCUUUAAUGAACUACUCAAGUGUAUAUAUUUUAUUUCGAGGGUAAUAUAGAGCCAUUAAAGGAGAGGGUAGGCCAUCAAGAGAGACACAGGAUCAUACCACAGUGCUACUAAACGUGUGGUUUGCAGAUAAACAGCAUCAGCACCACCUGGGAGCUUGUUAGAGCUGCAGAUUCAUGAGUCUAUCCCAGACCUCCUGAUCAGAAUGUCCGGGGCUGAGGCCCAGCACUCUGUUGUUUCAUAAGCUCUCCAGGUGAUUCUCAUGCACACUGAGUUUGGAGAAACACUUUCUCAGGCAAGGGGAUGGAGGAUUGAAAUGACCAGAGGAACAACACCGGGGUCCCUUUGGAGGGUCUGGCUCUCAUGCAGAUGACAAAUACAAAGAAGGCCUUGUUUCAACCAGAAGCAGAGGAGAUGGAGAGGUGACAACAGUGACUCUGAGAGAUUCUGAGUCCUGGCUGGAGAAGAAUGAGGUCCCUAGAAAUGUAAGAAUGAGACGGAGCCAACACAUGGCCCCAGACCUGAGCCUCCUAAGGCUGAAAACCACUGGGGAAGACCUGCAAGUAUCCUUACUGGCCUCGUGCUUCCAAUGCUGUUAACAUUCAUGAAGGCAAAGAGUGUGGGUCUCAGCCAGCGGGAGGGAAGACCACUGGCUGACAGUCUUGCAGAGCCAGGGCUGAAACUCUGACCCAUCACUUACCAAGCUUUAAGCGACUGAAGCUCUAUUUUGUACCCUCACCAGCCGAAGGGCCCUGGAGACAACAGAACAGAGCAGCAACGCCUCUGAACAGCAUCUGCCAGGCUUCCCUGCUUUCCAAAGCCAAGCUUCAGGGUCAGAGGCUCAGCCUGCAGGCUUGGUUGGCUGUGCCGGGGCCUGCCCGGGCUGCACACCUUCCCCAGCACUGCCAGCACAGGGACCCAUGCCCGUGGUUCCUGGCCGUAUCAGCCCUGCUGCGGCCCUGCAGGGGCUUCCUCUAGCCUGGUGCGGACUUUCUUGGUUACCAUGGAUCAAAGGGCUGUUGUAGGAGUGGGGAAGUUAACUCGUUUGCCCAACAUGGCUUUUGCUGAUUUCCAAUCAAUGCCCUGCUCUCUGACUUCAGCUGUUUUCCUAUUGGCUGUGGGAUCAAACAUAGGGAGAAAACAAACUCGAAAUCCAGCUGGCCCAGGGUCCUUAGUAUUCACCAUCCAUCAACCAAAAUGGAGGGUUAGUUAGUGGGUGAUAAUAACAGGAACAAACAUUAUGUGCCUACCAUGCAUAUGGCUCUCUUCCCUGUGUCACCAUCCUGCUCCUUAGCUACCAGACACACUUUAGGUGAGUGUAUUCCUGUCAACAGGUGCUCCCUCCACCAACACCUCUGGCCCCUCCAAUCCUUAGCACCGGGCUGCUUCCCAGACUCAUUGCCUUCCCUCCCCUGCCUCACAUGAGAGGGAUAUUCUGAGAUUCACUCUUCCCAGCUGCCCUAAAUUUCAAAGAAUGCAGUCAGAGUCCCAUAGCAGGGCCACCAUCAACUCAGACGGCUCUAAGCUCUUUCUUCCUGAACUACCAUAAUGCAGCCUAAUAAUAUGAAGCCUCAACCUCCUUUCAGCUUUUAGUCUCAUGCUGGGGUGUCCUGGGUGCUAUGAUUUUGUUAUUUUCACAGAAACCUUCUUGUUUAAUGAGUCUGUCUAGCAAUAUUCCCAAUGGCUUUUAGUCUGUAUUGCAAUACUUCUUGGGUUUCUGAACAUGAGCUGCUUGCCUUCCAACUUCACACUCAGCUGAUUUCUGUUCUGCUAAGUUUAACCUGGUUAAGUUGCUAAGUUGCAUGACCAAUUCCUCUCCAGUUGGCUUUGGGCAUGGAGAUGCAAGAAGUUAAAUAAUCCCAUGAUCCUGCUCAUUGGAACCCUGCAGCCAUACUAACAGCCUUUCUGGCAGACACCGCCUGGAACAAAUCCUUCAUUAAGGGCAAAGCCUAGAUUCUAUUUAUUGAUUGUAAUAAUUGCCAAGCACCCAGCUUGGCAUAGAGAAGGAGUCAAUAAGGUUUACCAAAUACAUGAGGAUUAAGAAUGAAAAUGUAACAAAUCCUCAAUGUGGUACAACUGGGAUUUAAAAUGAGGUCAUUCUGAUCCUGAAGUCCAGUAUUCUCCGCCCCACCCUGCCACCUUGGCCUUGGCUCCUCUGUGCACAUCCUGUGUGAACAGUUUCUAGGGAGAGGGGCUGAUUGAGGGGAGGCUGCAACUGUCAGAACACGAGGCUUUGUAGAGGGUCUGUCUGAGCCCACCCCACUCAGGAGGGACUUGCCAAGCAAGCCCAGAAGCUGGGUCCAUGCCUGUCCGGCACAGAGUUGGUGCUCAGUAACUAUGUAUUUAAUAAUUAAGGAGGCCCAAGGUGGUGAAGGUCUUGUAUCUGGGCCUGAAUUUCUAAACCUGUGUAAGUAGAAAGUCCUUUUGGUGCUUUUUAGAAAAUAGCCCAUAUCCUUUGACACUGCUUUCAUUAAAAGGUGGUGUUUAUAUCCCCUGACUCCCCUUAAGUCUUAGGGGACUUGGGACUGCUCUCACCGAUACAAUGUAGGGGAUGUGAUAUUUUGUGACUUCUAAGAUUAGGUCAUGAAGGCAAUGUAGUUUCUGACUUGUCCACAGAGACUCUUAUGUCUACAGUGUCUAAGCUGCUGUAUAAGAAGUCUAACUCCCCUGGGGCCGCCAUGUGUGAGCAAACGCAGGGUGCAUGACAGUCCCUGUGUAGAUGCUCUAGAUUGACAGCCCCAGCUGAGUCCAGUCAUCUGGGCAACAGACAGCUAAGUGAGGAGGCUGCCGUGUGAGUCCAGUUCUCGGCUCUCUGGUCACCCCUGGUCAUUUGAGUCUUCUCAGCUGGGACCCUAGACAUUGUGGAGCUGAAGCAAAUCAUCCCUGCCCUCUUGCAUUCCUGACCCACAGAAUAUGUAAGCAUAAUAAAGUUGUUGUUUUAUUCCACUAAAUUUUGGAGUGAUUUGUUACCAGCAGUAGUAACUAGAACACCAUUUGUUCAUUAGACAAGAGUUUCUUAAAGAGCAUCGGCAAUAUUUUAUUCUCUUUCAUAUCCCCAAAAGGAAACAGUAAAUGCUUAACAA
RNAcentral lists this long non-coding RNA (4593 nucleotides) under Homo sapiens (human). RNAcentral's name for it is "HSALNT0267440". The stretch from base 364 to 511 matches the Rfam family "Metazoan signal recognition particle RNA". Lineage: Eukaryota; Metazoa; Chordata; Mammalia; Primates; Hominidae. The record is from RNAcentral.